RNAcentral lists this ribosomal RNA (618 nucleotides) under uncultured bacterium. Its description in RNAcentral is "bacterial SSU rRNA". The stretch from base 1 to 520 matches the Rfam family "Bacterial small subunit ribosomal RNA", at positions 338 to 873 of the family's 1533-position model. The record is from RNAcentral.
CCUACGGGAGGCAGCAGUGGGGAAUAUUGCACAAUGGGCGAAAGCCUGAUGCAGCGACGCCGCGUGAGGGAUGACGGCCUUCGGGUUGUAAACCUCUUUCAGCAGGGAAGAAGCGAAAGUGACGGUACCUGCAGAAGAAGCACCGGCUAACUACGUGCCAGCAGCCGCGGUAAUACGUAGGGUGCGAGCGUUGUCCGGAAUUAUUGGGCGUAAAGAGCUUGUAGGCGGUUUGUCGCGUCUGCCGUGAAAAUUCGAGGCUCAACCUCGAACUUGCGGUGGGUACGGGCAGACUAGAGUGUGGUAGGGGAGACUGGAAUUCCUGGUGUAGCGGUGAAAUGCGCAGAUAUCAGGAGGAACACCGAUGGCGAAGGCAGGUCUCUGGGCCACUACUGACGCUGAGAAGCGAAAGCAUGGGGAGCGAACAGGAUUAGAUACCCUGGUAGUCCAUGCGUAACGUAGGUACGUAGUGUGGUCGUCAUCACGAGAUCGUCGCGCGCGCUACGCAUUAACGUUACCCGUCCCGUCGGGUAGGUACGGCCGGCCGACGGACGUAAACCGUUAAAACGGUAAAGUUAGUACGGCGUGAGACGUGCCGACGGACGACGACGAGGGAGGAGG